This 3372-nucleotide long non-coding RNA is filed under the name Marmota monax (woodchuck). The record is from RNAcentral. Lineage: Eukaryota; Metazoa; Chordata; Mammalia; Rodentia; Sciuridae.
ACCUAAUCCCUUUUUCAAUGUCUUGAUCUGUUAUGUGGAGUUAAUGUUUACUGUUCUUUCCUAGGACGGUCUCGUAUGACUUUGAAGUUGAUGUAAUUCACAGGACGCUUCCGUAUUUUCUGGAUUACACCUAGAGCUGAAGAGGCCCCUCUGGAAGGGCCGUGGAAGAUGCUUCUUCAGCUCAUGAGCAGCUGCCAUUUUCCCCCUUGGAUGAAGCCAUUGUCCCCAUUUCCUUUUGAUGCUGUCAAAGCUAUUAAUGAACCCUCCUCCUAGCACCUGGCCCUGGCCCUGCAUAGAGGAGAGGAGGUACCUUCUUGAUCUGAGAGAAUGCUGAGCCUGGGUGGCAGACGAGCCUCAGCAGGGUGCCGUGAAGAUUCAGGGAGGGUCAAGACCAAAGCUCUAGAUUCCAAAAAUUCAUGAAUUGGAUAAACUGAAGGCCAAUGAGCUUAGAGUUGAUCCUGGGGAAAAUUCUGGAGCAGACAAUCCAGAUCAUCCAGUGACUGGUGAUAUGUGUGUCAACCUUCAGGACCCAAGGGAUGUAGUAUAUGGGGUGAACACUUUGCCACAGGGCCCUGCUUUUAACAAUAAUUUGACUGUCUCUCGUGAAACCCCUAUGGACAGAACAGUGGCAAACAAGCUGCUGGAGCCUGAAGAUGCGUCUGUGGAAGGUGGCACAACUGGUGCAAGGCCACACUCCCAAUUAAGGCCAGGGCUGGAACCCUUGGACAGGCCCUGUGUCCCAGGUGAAAGUUCUGACACUGCCCAGGACUCCUGAGCAUGGGGAGGUGGAACUGUGACAGCAGAUGGGAUGGUGUCAUCCCAAGGCAUUCCCUGGUGGCCUGCCAAGCAGUUCUGUCCUUGGCCUUAAGCUCUUUAACAUUCUAUCAACAACUUGGAUGAGGCCAAAGAUAACUGCUUAUCAACUGUGCAAAUAACACCAGUCUGGGAAGGAAGGCCAAUAUGUUGGAACUGCAGAUCAGGAUCCAAAAUUAUCUCAACAGCAAGGAAUGAUUGGUUGAAUCCAACAAGAUAAAUUUAACAGGAAUACAUGUAAGGUCCUGUAUUUAGCUCCAAAACUUGAUUGCAAAAGUGUAGGAUGUGCUUGGGAAACAUGUCCAACCCUAUCCAUAAUCAAAGAAAUGCAAAUUAAAGCAACCAUGAGAUAAUUGUUUUUUCUUAUCAGAUUGGCAAUGAUUAAAAGAAUGAAAAUUCCCCAAGUUGGUGGCUAGAGUGUGGGGAAAUAGGCUUUCUUGUAAACCACUUGUGGGCGUAUAAACAAGAUCUCCCUUCCUGGAGGGUAAUCAUGAAACAUAUUGCAAAAACUCUAAAAUGCACCAUUUGUCCAAGAAGUUUCAUUUAUAGAAAUGUAUCCAAAGACAAAUAUGAGAAGAUUUAUGCACAAGUAUAUUCAUAAAAGCACUGUUCAAAAAAGACACUGUUUGGGGGAAGGAAGGUGUUCAGUUUAGGAACAGAAGACUUGGAGGCCUCAGAAAGGUACCAAGUGGCUAUUGUCAAAUACGUGGUGCCAAAAAACGGGAGGAAGCAGGGUCUUUACAGGUCCUGAGGCCAGACUUACAAGAUCAUGACUACAUCUUUUAAGACCAGAGUUUCUGAUAAACAGAUUUGGCCUAACAUUACAGAGAAGAUUCUAGCAGUUAAUUCUGUCCAAAACCAGGGCAGGCUGCCUCACACCUUCCUCCAAGGGUGUGGAGGACACAAGCAGGGUAUUUAGCCACUGGGAUGAAACAUUUUUAUGGUUUCUUUCAACAGGAAGAGGCACUGAAACUUUGUUGCACGAAACUACUCAAGGCAGAGCCACCGCUCAAGGUGGAGCAGGUGGGAACACUCAUCAGGUUCCACUUCCAGACCUGAAUUCCAGAAAUGAAGUGAGGACCCUUCCAGUUGUCCAUUGGCACCCUUACUGAGAGCCUGCAGGAGAUGACCCCCAUCCCUCCUCUUGCCUCAAUAUUUUAGGAACUCUUUAGCACCCCAUGGGAAACGCAAGAGAACACUUAGCUGAACUUGAAAAGGAAUAAAGAUAAGCUCUCCUUCUGUCACCUAAUUCUGCUGUAUUGGGGCUGCCAGAACACAGACAGAAGAGCUAAGGGUUUCACGGCUCUAUCUAUAUCUCCUCUUUUGCAUUCCUCUCAUCUGAGACUUUCUGUUUAAAUCAGCAGUCACGUGUGUCUAAAGCAUAUCUCACCUGUAUCUCCAAAUACAGAGCAGCCAGUGUUCGGGAGGCGUAUCCUCAGUGUUCUCUCGCUCACCACUUCAGUCGAUUAAGCCUUUCCCAGCCUCCUUUUCACUCCAUCCUUCCACCAAACAUGUCAGGGUGCCUUUAGGAAGACUAUCCCUUGGCAAACCUAUAAGGAACCCUUGCUGCAAGUGAGGCAUCAAACACUGUUAUGCUACCUCUGGGACCAAGGUAGCCUCCCUCCAGCCCAUUUGUGGCCAGAGUAAUCUUUUCAUAAUUUUUUUUUUUUUUUUUAUGCUGGGGAUGGAACAGGGCCUCAUACAUGCUAAGCAAGCACUGUAACACUGAAUUGCACCCACCUUUUUUGACAGUGUCUUGCUGAGUUGCCCGUGCUGGCCUCAAACUUACAAUCCUCCUGCCUCAGCCUUCCCACUAGCUGGUGGGAUUAUAGGCGUGUGUCACUCUGCCCAGCUUAUAAGACAACUGUGACCACGUCACUCCUAACAACAGCUCUAAGUAGCCUCCAAGGCCCUGCGCUAAUUGUCCCUUGCUCACCCCCAACAUAUCUCCUACCAAGACCCCUUGCACUGAGCUCAGGCCGUAUGGGCCUUCCAUUUCUUCUAACUUGUCACACUCCUUCCAGACAUAGAAUCUGCACAUAUUCUUUCCCCUGCCUGGAAAUUUCUACUUGUCCCAUCCCUCCUUCCCACACUUCCUUUGGAUCUAAUGUUAUGAGCUGAAUCAUGCUCUGUCUCCCCUUAAACUCAUAUGCUGAAGCUCUAAUCCUCAGUGUGUCAGAAAGUGACUGCAUUUGGAGAUGAGGACUUAACAAGGUAAUAAAUUAAAAUGAAAUUGUCAAGCACCUGCAUCCAUAGUCCCAGCUACUCAGAGGAUGUCUUGAGCCUAGGAGUUCAACACCAACUUAGGCAACAUGGUGAGGCUCGGACUCAACAGAAAAAAGGAGAGAUGUCAACAGAGUCUGAUCUGACUGGUGUCCUUAGAAGAGAUUAGGAUACCAGUGAGACACCAAGGGUGUGAGUGCAAACAGAGGAAAGACUGUGUGAGGACAUGGCAAGAGGGUGGCUGACUGCAAGUCAAGGAGAGAGGCCUCGGGAGAAACCCCGCCUGCUGGCACCUUGAUUGUGGACCUCAGCCUUCACACCUGUGAGGAACUAAGG